AGCGGAGGAAAAGAAACUAAACAAGGAUUCCCCUAGUAACGGCGAGCGAAGCGGGAAGAGCUCAAAUUUGAAAGCUGGCACCUCCGGUGUCCGCGUUGUAAUCUCGAGACGUGUUUUCCGUGCGGCUCUAUGGACAAGUCCCUUGGAAUAGGGCAUCGUAGAGGGUGAGAAUCCCGUACUUGCCAUGGAAGAACCGUGCUUUGCGAUACACGCUCUAAGAGUCGAGUUGUUUGGGAUUGCAGCUCAAAAUGGGUGGUAGACUCCAUCUAAAGCUAAAUAUCGGGGAGAGACCGAUAGCGAACAAGUACCGUGAGGGAAAGAUGAAAAGCACUUUGGAAAGAGAGUUAAAAGUACGUGAAAUUGUCGAAAGGGAAGCACUUGAAGUCAGCCAUGCUGCUUGAGACUCAGCCUGGCCUUUGGGCUUGGUGUAUUUCUCGGUGGCAAGCCAGCAUUGGUUUGGGUCGUCGGAGAAGCGCAUAGGGAAUGUAGCGUUUCCGGGGACUGGUUUGGU
RNAcentral lists this ribosomal RNA (511 nucleotides) under Malassezia globosa. RNAcentral's name for it is "eukaryotic LSU rRNA". It matches the Rfam family "Eukaryotic large subunit ribosomal RNA", at positions 49 to 561 of the family's 3401-position model. The record is from RNAcentral. Lineage: Eukaryota; Fungi; Basidiomycota; Malasseziomycetes; Malasseziales; Malasseziaceae.